This 492-nucleotide ribosomal RNA is filed under the name uncultured bacterium. Its description in RNAcentral is "partial 16S ribosomal RNA". It matches the Rfam family "Bacterial small subunit ribosomal RNA", at positions 29 to 507 of the family's 1533-position model. The record is from RNAcentral.
AGUGAACGCUGGCGGUAGGCCUAACACAUGCAAGUCGAACGGCAGCACAGUAAGAGCUUGCUCUUACGGGUGGCGAGUGGCGGACGGGUGAGGAAUACAUCGGAAUCUACUUUUUCGUGGGGGAUAACGUAGGGAAACUUACGCUAAUACCGCAUACGACCUACGGGUGAAAGCAGGGGAUCUUCGGACCUUGCGCGAUUGAAUGAGCCGAUGUCGGAUUAGCUAGUUGGCGGGGUAAAGGCCCACCAAGGCGACGAUCCGUAGCUGGUCUGAGAGGAUGAUCAGCCACACUGGAACUGAGACACGGUCCAGACUCCUACGGGAGGAAGCAGUGGGGAAUAUUGGACAAUGGGCGCAAGCCUGAUCCAGCCAUACCGCGUGGGUGAAGAAGGCCUUCGGGUUGUAAAGCCAUUUUGUUGGGAAAGAAAAGCAGCAGGUUAAUACCCCGCUGUUCUGACGGUACCCAAAGAAUAAGCACCGGCUAACUUCGUG